UAACAAGGAUUCCCCUAGUAACUGCGAGUGAAGCGGGAUGAGCUCAAAUUUAAAAUCUGGCGGUCUCUGGCCGUCCGAGUUGUAGUCUGGAGAAGCGUUUUCCGCGUCGGACCGUGUACAAGUCUCCUGGAAUGGAGCGUCAUAGAGGGUGAGAAUCCCGUCCAUGGCACGGACCGCCGAUGCUUUGUGAUACGCUCUCGAAGAGUCGAGUUGUUUGGGAAUGCAGCUCAAAAUGGGUGGUAAAUUCCAUCUAAAGCUAAAUAUUGGCGAGAGACCGAUAGCGAACAAGUACCGUGAGGGAAAGAUGAAAAGCACUUUGAAAAGAGAGUUAAACAGUACGUGAAAUUGUUGAAAGGGAAACGCUUGAAGUCAGUCGCGUCUCGUAGAACUCAGCCUGGUUUCGGCCUGGUGUACUUUCUAUGUGGACGGGUCAACAUCAAUUUUGACCGGUGGAGAAAGGUGAGGGGAAUGUAGCGUUGCUUCGGUGACGUGUUAUAGCCCUUUGCUGUAUACACUGGUUGGGAUUGAGGACUGCAGCGCGCCUUUAAUGGCCGGGGGUUCGCCCUACGUACCGCGCUUAGGAUGUUGGCAUAAUGGCUUUAAGCGACCCGUCUUGAAACACGGACCAAGGAGUCUAACAUGUUUGCGAGUGUUCGGGUGGAAAACCCUUGCGCGUAAUGAAAGUGAAAGUUGGGAUCCUCCGCAAGGGGGUGCACCGACGCCCGGCCCUGAAGUUCUCUGACGGUGCUGCGGUAGAGCAAGUAUGUUGGGACCCGAAAGAUGGUGAACUAUGCCUGAAUAGGGCGAAGCCAGAGGAAACUCUGGUGGAGGCUCGUAGCGAUUCUGACGUGCAAAUCGAUCGUCAAAUUUGGG
Molecule: ribosomal RNA, 873 nt
Filed under: Xanthoporia radiata
Lineage: Eukaryota; Fungi; Basidiomycota; Agaricomycetes; Hymenochaetales; Hymenochaetaceae
Description: eukaryotic LSU rRNA
Rfam family: Eukaryotic large subunit ribosomal RNA
Source: RNAcentral